Molecule: long non-coding RNA, 770 nt
Filed under: Heterocephalus glaber (naked mole-rat)
Lineage: Eukaryota; Metazoa; Chordata; Mammalia; Rodentia; Bathyergidae
Description: lncRNA (ENSHGLG00000049092.1)
Source: RNAcentral
UGGGUCAACCGUGUCGCUACCUCGAGCAGUUGAGGAGCAGUAGGAGCCCGGACUUCACGCCACGCCGCCGGAAUCCCCCGGGCCAAGACCGUGAGCGCUGGGCCGCGGGAGUGGGCGGAUCGAGCUCGAGCCCAGGUCCGGUCCCCGGACCCGCCUGCGCCCCACCCCUCCGCCGGAGCCUUUCCUGCCCUGCGUGGGUGGGGGUGGGGAGAGGAGGCGGGUGCGUGGGCUGCGGUCCCAGCGCCGCCCUUGCCGUGGGGUCCUUAAGGGCCGCCCGACCCUCACCCCCGCAGCGGCUCCAAGGUCCGCUUGAGGCGCAACAUGUUUGCUGCCCUGAUCCUGACCGCGAACCCGAACCCUAACCCACGUGGUCUCCUCCUACCUGAACUGGGGCGGCGAGCCUCAUCCCACCAGCAGGGGCUUCUGGAGAGGGCAAUAACCGGAUCUGUGAAAUAGGAAUUGUAUUAGGAAGUGAAGCGUGCAGUGGAGAGAAACCCAGCACUGAAGAGAGAACAGGCGCCUCGGGUUAAAGAGAGGCUCCACUGGACACCAGUGUCUUGCUAUGUGGUUCAGGCUGGCCUUGAACUCACUACGGGUGCCCAGGCUGGCCUUCAACUCCCGGUGUCCUCCUGCCUCAGCCUCCCAAGUGCUGGGAUUACAGGUGUGUCCAGGUUUGCAGCUGCUUGCUGGGUAAACUAGUGUGAGAGGACUCCCUGGUCAUUGUGGUCUUCUUGGUGUUGUCCUGUAUUUGCACAUGUGCCCCCCCGCCC